RNAcentral lists this long non-coding RNA (339 nucleotides) under Sorghum bicolor (sorghum). RNAcentral describes it as "long non-coding RNA (SBIC_LNC013996)". The record is from RNAcentral. Lineage: Eukaryota; Viridiplantae; Streptophyta; Magnoliopsida; Poales; Poaceae.
AAGGUGGACGUGAAACUCCAGGAGCUCAAAGACGCCAUUUCUGGUGGAUCAACACAGAGUAUGAAGGAUGCCAUGGCUGCUUUGAACCAGGAGGUGAUGCAGAUUGGCCAGGCAAUGUAUAACCAGCCUGGUGCCAGUGCUGCUGGGCCUACUCCUGGCGCUGAGGCUGGACCUACGCCUGGUACUGGACCAGCGCAGAAUGAUGGGGAUGUUAUUGACGCGGACUUCACAGAUAGCAAUUGAGGGGUGAUCGAUGCAUGACCAUGUGCUGAGCAAGAUUGGCAUUGAGUGAACAAAUAGUUCCUUUUUUGUGUUGGGAUUGUUACUGUAGGCUCUAGU